ACCUCUGUGGUGUAGUGGUAGCACACGACCCCGCUAUGGAUGAAACGUGAGUUCGACUCCCGUCCGAGGUC
Molecule: non-coding RNA, 71 nt
Organism: Parelaphostrongylus tenuis
Lineage: Eukaryota; Metazoa; Nematoda; Chromadorea; Rhabditida; Metastrongylidae
Source: the annotation of a GenBank genome assembly